Molecule: transfer RNA, 71 nt
Filed under: Gregarina niphandrodes
Lineage: Eukaryota; Apicomplexa; Conoidasida; Eugregarinorida; Gregarinidae
Rfam family: tRNA
About the family: Transfer RNA (tRNA) molecules are approximately 80 nucleotides in length.
Source: Rfam by way of RNAcentral
GCAUCAAUAGUCCAAGGGUAGGAUUUGAGCCUUCCAAACUUAAAAUCCGGGUUCGAGUCCCAGUUGAUGCA